Melopsittacus undulatus (budgerigar) is the source of this 1125-nucleotide long non-coding RNA. RefSeq lists it as uncharacterized. The record is from RefSeq and is a predicted model, not a curated record. Lineage: Eukaryota; Metazoa; Chordata; Aves; Psittaciformes; Psittaculidae. The transcript has 6 exons.
ACUGUGGCAUAGACCCUGUAAAGGCACCUGAAAGUGAACUCUAAUGAGCAAGACCAGGUUUUGGAGAAGGGGGAAUUGCAGAGAAGAUGGCACAAGGCUUCUCUCUGAGAUGUGCAGCAACAGGACAAGAGACAAAAGUGAGAAGCUGCAUCCAGGGAAGUUCCAGUUGUGGGAAUAUGUGGUUUUCCCAAGCUCAUGCUUAAAAGAAAGUGAACUGCCAGAUCCUCCUUGCUUGCUUUGGACAAGAGAGUAAAGGAUGAAGAAUGGUUUUGUCUUCCAGCUUCUGAUAAGAAAAACAAAAGUAAAAGAAGACACAGGUAUGUGCUAGCUGGAAGAAACCUGUUCCAACACUCGGAUUAUAAGAAAAAGAGUAUGUUGAGAGAAGAAAGAAGUCUGACAUACUUUCUACUUGAUCUGAAAUUCAUCUCCAUGCAUCAGCUUUCUGAGUAUUUUUUAAUGCUGUAGUCCCACGUUACAGGUAUAUGCUGCAGGAUAAAGAGCAUCAGUCCCUUCUGGAAAUGCCUUGGGAAUACAUUACCUGGAGGAAGCACGAGAAUUUGUGAAAUUCUGAAGAGAGAAGAACAAAAGGUACUAAAUCUGAGGCUGUGGCUGCUAAAAUGAGCUGCUGAGCACUGGAGAGCUGCAGAACCUCUGCACCUGUUAUUUCCAGUAAUAGAAAAGAAACCCAAGUGUCUCAAAGGUGUGGAUGCUAUUUUGUUUGGUUUGGGAGAAGUGUUAAAUAAAAUAACCGUUCUGAAAGCAAAAGUUCUUUUCUAAAGGUGGCUAUUCUCUGUAUUCAUCUGGUUUCCCUAUUCCAAUUCCCUUCAGCUGAUAAUGCUGCGUCCUCAGGUCCCACACCCUCCAUCGUGGCCUGUGUAACAUGCAGUAUUUCAAAGGAGCACAGCUGGGUGCUGGACUGUAAUUUGUCAUGCAGCUAGGACCACAUCCAUCAGUUUAUUUGAAGGUAAGGACCAGCACCUUGGAAGUGGAUGGAGAGCUAAUGGACUCAUGUUUCUGCUGUGUUCACAGGGACUUAAACCAGGGAGAAAAGGGUCAGGCACGUCCAUAUAAUUUCACUUUUUGCCUUAGAUGCCAUGAUUUGUAGUAGUUUGGUCAGAAAUUACA